GCGCCUUGCGCGCACCGGCGGACGGCUCAGUAACACGUCGGUAACCUACCCUCGGGAGGGGGAUAACCCCGGGAAACUGGGGCUAAUCCCCCAUAGGCCUGAGGUACUGGAAGGUCCUCAGGCCGAAAGGGGCUCUGCCCGCCCGAGGAUGGGCCGGCGGCCGAUUAGGUAGUUGGUGGGGUAACGGCCCACCAAGCCGAAGAUCGGUACGGGCCAUGAGAGUGGGAGCCCGGAGAUGGACACUGAGACACGGGUCCAGGCCCUACGGGGCGCAGCAGGCGCGAAACCUCCGCAAUGCGGGCAACCGCGACGGGGGGACCCCCAGUGCCGUGGCAUCGCCACGGCUUUUCCGGAGUGUAAAGAGCUCCGGGAAUAAGGGCUGGGCAAGGCCGGUGGCAGCCGCCGCGGUAAUACCGGCGGCCCGAGUGGUGGCCGCUAUUAUUGGGCCUAAAGCG
RNAcentral lists this ribosomal RNA (455 nucleotides) under Thermococcus sp. MZ9. RNAcentral's name for it is "bacterial SSU rRNA". It matches the Rfam family "Archaeal small subunit ribosomal RNA", at positions 65 to 517 of the family's 1478-position model. Lineage: Archaea; Methanobacteriati; Methanobacteriota; Thermococci; Thermococcales; Thermococcaceae. The record is from RNAcentral.